RNAcentral lists this ribosomal RNA (460 nucleotides) under uncultured bacterium. RNAcentral describes it as "partial 16S ribosomal RNA". It matches the Rfam family "Bacterial small subunit ribosomal RNA", at positions 338 to 795 of the family's 1533-position model. The record is from RNAcentral.
CCUACGGGAGGCAGCAGUGAGGAAUAUUGGUCAAUGGACGAGAGUCUGAACCAGCCAAGUAGCGUGAAGGAUGACUGCCCUAUGGGUUGUAAACUUCGUUUAUAUGGGAAUAAAACGUUCCACGUGUGGGAUUUUGUAUGUACCAUAUGAAUAAAGAUCGGCUAACUCCGUUCCAGCAGCCGCGGUAAUACGGAGGUUCCGAGCGUUAUCCGGAUUUGUUGGGUUUAAAGGGAGCGUAGGUGGAUUGUUAAGUCAGUUGUGAAAGUUUGCGGCUCAACCGUAAAAUUGCAGUUGAAACUGGCAGUCUUGAGUACAGUAGAGGUGGGCGGAAUUCGUGGUGUAGCGGUGAAAUGCUUAGAUAUCACGAAGAACUCCGAUUGCGAAGGCAGUUCACUGGACUGCAACUGACACUGAGGCUCGAAAGUGUGGGUAUCAAACAGGAUUAGAUACCUGAGUAGUC